This 213-nucleotide ribosomal RNA is filed under the name uncultured bacterium. Its description in RNAcentral is "partial 16S ribosomal RNA". It matches the Rfam family "Bacterial small subunit ribosomal RNA", at positions 118 to 332 of the family's 1533-position model. The record is from RNAcentral.
UGAGCAAUCUGCCCUCCACAUCGGAAUAACCAUUGGAAACGAUGGCUAAUACCGAAUAUGACUUCGGAUCGCAUGAUCUGAAGUGGAAAGCUCCGGCGGUGAAGGAUGAGCUCGCGGCCUAUCAGCUUGUUGGUGAGGUAAUAGCUCACCAGGGCGAUGACGGGUAGCCGGCCUGAGAGGGUGACCGGCCACACUGGGACUGAGACACCGGCA